Molecule: non-coding RNA, 21 nt
Filed under: Caenorhabditis elegans
Lineage: Eukaryota; Metazoa; Nematoda; Chromadorea; Rhabditida; Rhabditidae
Source: RNAcentral
UAUGCAAACGUUUUUUACUAA